Molecule: ribosomal RNA, 791 nt
Filed under: Psychrobacter sp.
Lineage: Bacteria; Pseudomonadati; Pseudomonadota; Gammaproteobacteria; Moraxellales; Moraxellaceae
Description: bacterial SSU rRNA
Rfam family: Bacterial small subunit ribosomal RNA
Source: RNAcentral
CGAGCGGUACAGGAGAAGCUUGCUUCUCGCUGACGAGCGGCGGACGGGUGAGUAAUACUUAGGAAUCUACCUAGUAGUGGGGGAUAGCUCGGGGAAACUCGAAUUAAUACCGCAUACGACCUACGGGAGAAAGGGGGCAACUUGUUGCUCUCGCUAUUAGAUGAGCCUAAGUCGGAUUAGCUAGAUGGUGGGGUAAAGGCCUACCAUGGCGACGAUCUGUAGCUGGUCUGAGAGGAUGAUCAGCCACACCGGGACUGAGACACGGCCCGGACUCCUACGGGAGGCAGCAGUGGGGAAUAUUGGACAAUGGGGGCAACCCUGAUCCAGCCAUGCCGCGUGUGUGAAGAAGGCCUUUUGGUUGUAAAGCACUUUAAGCAGUGAAGAAGACUCCAUGGUUAAUACCCAUGGACGAUGACAUUAGCUGCAGAAUAAGCACCGGCUAACUCUGUGCCAGCAGCCGCGGUAAUACAGAGGGUGCAAGCGUUAAUCGGAAUUACUGGGCGUAAAGCGAGCGUAGGUGGCUUGAUAAGUCAGAUGUGAAAGCCCCGGGCUUAACCUGGGAACGGCAUCUGAUACUGUUAGGCUAGAGUAGGUGAGAGGAAGGUAGAAUUCCAGGUGUAGCGGUGAAAUGCGUAGAGAUCUGGAGGAAUACCGAUGGCGAANGCAGCCUUCUGGCAUCAUACUGACACUGAGGUUCGAAAGCGUGGGUAGCAAACAGGAUUANAUACCCUGGUAGUCCNCGCCGUAACGAUGUCUACUANUCGUUGGGUCCCUUGAGACUUANUGACGCA